Molecule: long non-coding RNA, 1746 nt
Organism: Rhipicephalus sanguineus (brown dog tick)
Lineage: Eukaryota; Metazoa; Arthropoda; Arachnida; Ixodida; Ixodidae
Exons: 3
Source: RefSeq, a predicted model, not a curated record
CAGCGGCAAGGACUGCGAAGAUGGUUUCCAGCUGCGGGUAGAAGGAGAGGGCAACAACAGGGCUGUGACACACCGUCAGACUCAUGUGAUCCACGUAGGAAAGAAUACUCGCUCAGGGUACACCAUGCAACCGUUGUUUCGUGUGUGACGCGCAGUUCUCUUUAUAAAGGUUUGGGUCUGGUUGCCACUUCGAAGCGUUUGGCCUUGCGCUGAGAAUGAAUACAUUUUGGAUUACGUUUACCAUACUGACGCUAACAGGUAUCCUCUGCUCUGACAGUGAACAGAGCAUGACAGAAGUGGACAGCGAAGGCAGCACCACAACAAUCCCCGUGGAGUCCUAUAGAUUAGUGGGCCGCGCUGGCUGCCCUUCGUUUCGCGCUUGUCGCAGCCGCUGCUAUCGCCGAGGGCCCUACUCAAGUGGUAGGUGCAUCGGUGUGCGCAAACUCACCUGCAUGUGCACUUCGAGUGUUCGAAGAAACAGCGGUUGAUAUUCUUCAGCGUUGCAAAUAUAGCUCCUCCAGAAGCGGCUCUUUGCAUGACAUUAAAGUUGGAGUCAUGACAAAAAAGAUGCCGGAACAAUUUUACUGCGCAACUCGGAAGUUUUGAUGGCCAGCUGAAUUGAAACGAACAUCAAGGAUAAUCCUGCAGAUAUGAAACCACUGCCAAGUGGUUCGCAACGAUCUUCGCUACUAAUCCUACGAUUAAAAAAAAAUUCGAUAUGGUCAUGACGUGACUACGCAAGAAUCAGGACACUGAAAAACGUUUGUUACGCACUGGUUCGCUACAAACUGUCGACCAACAAUGAAAGAGGUGUAAAAAAGGAUCUGUAAAUUCCGGAACUGAACUGCAGGACGUAUCCUUUCACAGGAACCUACCUACAAAUGCGAAACCACUCGGCGUUGGUACCCGGCAAGCGAUCAUUGCUCUGGAAAUAUUUCUGUUUACACUUGCUGCGCUGUCGAUAACGCGACGAGGCUCUUUUUGUAUACUGAUUAACAGUGACACGAAUUAUCAGCGGCAUACACCAAAAAGAAACGCUUGCAGUCCGGCUAUGACGAAGGACGCAUGAGAACGUUUAUAUUUCACCAUCGGCGCAAUAUACACUUGUUCGCUAGCUGCAGUUAAUUAAACGUAUGUGCUUACCUACGUGAAUAUGUAGAUGUUUUUUGUGACUGUAUCGAGGCUACCGCGCAGUACGUAGGCAUGAAAUAGUUUCUUGUGCAUUUCCCUCGCCUGUGACAGCGUUUUCUAAGUUUUUGCAGCAUUAGAAGUAAGCCAGUAUUAUAUGUGUGUUUACAUGUAAGUGGAAUGUCACAAAUCACGUUUUUCGCAAUCGACCUUUAGAAACAUUUGAACAAACAAUUCACAAGUAUUUGUACUAAAUUUAUAACCAUUUGCACCUCAUUUGUAUUUUUGCAAUGGUGAAUGCGCUGAGAAAUUACAAUGUAUUUUGUCCUCUCAAUUUCGAUCGACUACGAUAUUGAUGGAUUCACGAAAAAUGCGUUUUGAGUACGUACACGAAUAGGCUGUAUAUAAGGACACCCCAUGAUCAUGUCAAGAACGUUCACUGUUUGUGCGAACUAUUCUUUGAAUGUGCAGUCGUGUUGUGCAUCAUAUACAUUUGUAUUUGUGUUUGACGAAGACAGUAAAACAGUUUUUUCCUUCAUUACGAAGACUCAAUUUCCUUAUUUCCUGAUGGGAGCCCAUGACAUUUAUUCGAGAAUACAGGAAGUGCCCAAAGCAACA